UGGGGAAUAUUGCACAAUGGACGGAAGUCUGAUGCAGCGACGCCGCGUGGGGGAUGAAGGCUUUCGGGUUGUAAACUCCUUUCAGUACAGAAGAAGCUUUAUUGUGACGGUAUGUGCAGAAGAAGCGCCGGCUAACUACGUGCCAGCAGCCGCGGUAAUACGUAGGGCGCGAGCGUUGUCCGGAAUUAUUGGGCGUAAAGAGAUCGUAGGCGGUUUGUCGCGUCUGCUGUGAAAGACCGGGGCUUAACUCCGGGGCUGCAGUGGGUACGGGCAGGCUGGAGUGCGGUAGGGGUAACCGGAAUUCCUGGUGUAGCGGUGGAAUGCGCAGAUAUCAGGAGGAACACCGAUGGCGAAGGCAGGUUACUGGGCCGUUACUGACGCUGAGGAGCGAAAGCAUGGGGAGCGAACAGG
Molecule: ribosomal RNA, 411 nt
Filed under: Verrucomicrobiota bacterium
Lineage: Bacteria; Pseudomonadati; Verrucomicrobiota
Description: Verrucomicrobia bacterium partial 16S ribosomal RNA
Rfam family: Bacterial small subunit ribosomal RNA
Source: RNAcentral